GGGGUCGUUAGGUUUCGAUUCGCAAUGAGGUUGAAUGUGUGGCAUGCAGUGGUUGAUCGAACGGCCACUUUAAAAAUCGAUCAAGCCUUAACCGGCAAUACUUACGCUCAGGCUGCUUAAUCAGCCAAGGGUUUUGGGAAGCUAAGUUAGCUGCGUCCUUAAAUCCUAACGAAAUGCUAACUGGCUUUAACCCUUGCAGAUACAGGUUGAAGUGAGAUAAAAUGAUUCUGCUGGCUCUAAAUAACUUUUGCUAUUUGCAGUUUUUAGAGUAAGAUUUAGCAAAAAGAUAAGCAUGUAGAGGCCGCUCGACUAGUUGUAGAAGAUGGGGGUUCGAUUCCCCCCGACUCCACUU
RNAcentral lists this transfer-messenger RNA (352 nucleotides) under Nitrosopumilaceae. RNAcentral describes it as "PXYB01 sp003352285 Standard tmRNA". It matches the Rfam family "transfer-messenger RNA". Rfam says of the family: Bacterial tmRNA, also known as 10Sa RNA or SsrA, is named for its dual tRNA and mRNA-like properties. Its role is to liberate the mRNA from a stalled ribosome. Lineage: Archaea; Thermoproteati; Nitrososphaerota; Nitrososphaeria; Nitrosopumilales. RNAcentral also lists the same sequence under 1 other name. The record is from RNAcentral.